GGGGAUUUAGCUCAGUGGUAGAGCGCUUGCCUAGCAAGUGCCAGGCCCUGGGUUCGGUCCCCAGCUCCG
Rattus norvegicus (Norway rat) is the source of this 69-nucleotide non-coding RNA. NCBI's taxonomy places the organism in Eukaryota, Metazoa, Chordata, Mammalia, Rodentia, Muridae. The record is from Rfam.